AAACAGACUUCUCAGUUCAUAACCCAACGCAAGCAUUUUUUUUGGGUGAUUCUCCUCUUCUCUGAACUCAAGCAAAUUUUUUUUUUUGGUGAUUCUCCUCUUCUCCUCUUCUCCAAAAUAAAUCAUCCACAAGCUAGACUAGUGCCUUUCUUUGAAGAAAACUUGGCUGGGAUUCUUGUUCUUUAUACUUGGAAGUUUCAAGUGGAAGAAAAUAAGCUCAAAAUCCAGGUUUUAUUGUUCUUUGUUAAUUAGUUUUAUUGUUUUUUAUUGUGUUGUGUUUAUUAUAAAAAUUAAAAAAUAUUUCCUAAGAAACAACUUUCUGGAAAUCUCAAGAGACAAAGAAAGAAAGAAGAAGAAGAAAUUGCUCAAAGUUUAAGAGGAUCUUUGAAUAAAUAUUUUGUUAAACAAACCAAUGCUUCACUUGAAAAUUUAGAUGAAGAUUUACCAAAUGAAUAUGAACAACCAAUUCAAUUGGAAGAAUUAGUAGAAAAUGAGAAUGAUGUGAAUGAAGAAAUUGG
Molecule: non-coding RNA, 518 nt
Organism: Prunus avium (sweet cherry)
Lineage: Eukaryota; Viridiplantae; Streptophyta; Magnoliopsida; Rosales; Rosaceae
Source: RefSeq, a predicted model, not a curated record